UACGUAGGGUCCGAGCGUUGUCCGGAAUUACUGGGCGUAAAGAGCUCGUAGGUGGUUUGUCACGUUGUUCGUGAAAACCCACAGCUCAACUGUGGACGUGCGAGCGAUACGGGCAGACUAGAGUACUGCAGGGGAGACUGGAAUUCCUGGUGUAGCGGUGGAAUGCGCAGAUAUCAGGAGGAACACCGGUGGCGAAGGCGGGUCUCUGGGCAGUAACUGACGCUGAGGAGCGAAAGCGUGGGGAGCGAACAGG
This 253-nucleotide ribosomal RNA is filed under the name uncultured bacterium. RNAcentral's name for it is "partial 16S ribosomal RNA". It matches the Rfam family "Bacterial small subunit ribosomal RNA", at positions 524 to 776 of the family's 1533-position model. The record is from RNAcentral.